GACGAACGCUGGCGGCGUGCCUAACACAUGCAAGUCGAACGGAAAGGCCCUGCUUUUGUGGGGUGCUCGAGUGGCGAACGCGUGAGUAACACGUGAGUAUCCUGCCCUUGACUUUGGGAUAACUUCAGGAAACUGGGGCUAAUACCGGAUAGGAGCUCUUGCUGCAUGGUGGGCGAUGGAAAGUUUCGGCGGUAGUGGAUGGACUGGCGGCCUAUCAGCUUGUUGGUGGGGUAGUGGCUUACCAAGUGUUCGACGGGUAGCCGGCCUGAGAGGGGGACCGGGCACAAUGGGCCUGCGGGAGGGAGCAGAAUCGUACCGGAGGCAGUGGUGGAGAGUAUGGCGGAAUGGGCGGAAGCCUGAUGCGGCAACGCCGCGUGCGGAAUGCCCGCCUUCGGGUUAUGAACCGCUUUCGAAGGUGACAUGGAGUGAGUGACGGUAACGGGUAAAAAAGCACCGGCUAACUACGUG
This 468-nucleotide ribosomal RNA is filed under the name uncultured bacterium. RNAcentral describes it as "partial 16S ribosomal RNA". It matches the Rfam family "Bacterial small subunit ribosomal RNA", at positions 28 to 507 of the family's 1533-position model. The record is from RNAcentral.